This 630-nucleotide ribosomal RNA is filed under the name Alternaria sp. IA305. Its description in RNAcentral is "eukaryotic LSU rRNA". It matches the Rfam family "Eukaryotic large subunit ribosomal RNA", at positions 1 to 643 of the family's 3401-position model. Lineage: Eukaryota; Fungi; Ascomycota; Dothideomycetes; Pleosporales; Pleosporaceae. The record is from RNAcentral.
UUUUGACCUCGGAUCAGGUAGGGAUACCCGCUGAACUUAAGCAUAUCAAUAAGCGGAGGAAAAGAAACCAACAGGGAUUGCCCUAGUAACGGCGAGUGAAGCGGCAACAGCUCAAAUUUGAAAUCUGGCUCUUUUAGAGUCCGAGUUGUAAUUUGCAGAGGGCGCUUUGGCUUUGGCAGCGGUCCAAGUUCCUUGGAACAGGACGUCACAGAGGGUGAGAAUCCCGUACGUGGUCGCUGGCUAUUGCCGUGUAAAGCCCCUUCGACGAGUCGAGUUGUUUGGGAAUGCAGCUCUAAAUGGGAGGUACAUUUCUUCUAAAGCUAAAUAUUGGCCAGAGACCGAUAGCGCACAAGUAGAGUGAUCGAAAGAUGAAAAGCACUUUGGAAAGAGAGUCAAAUAGCACGUGAAAUUGUUGAAAGGGAAGCGCUUGCAGCCAGACUUGCUUGCAGUUGCUCAUCCGGGCUUUUGCCCGGUGCACUCUUCUGUAGGCAGGCCAGCAUCAGUUUGGGCGGUAGGAUAAAGGUCUCUGUCACGUACCUCCUUUCGGGGAGGCCUUAUAGGGGAGGCGACAUACUACCAGCCUGGACUGAGGUCCGCGCAUCUGCUAGGAUGCUGGCGUAAUGGCUGUAA